This is a long non-coding RNA of Vicia villosa (hairy vetch), 557 nucleotides long. RefSeq lists it as uncharacterized. The record is from RefSeq and is a predicted model, not a curated record. The transcript is spliced from 2 exons. Lineage: Eukaryota; Viridiplantae; Streptophyta; Magnoliopsida; Fabales; Fabaceae.
UUCAUAUCUUCAAUUGUGUGCUACUUUUUAAAUUUGUAUGGUAAUUUUUAUCUUCUUUUUCUUAUUGUAUAUAUCUGUAUUGAAUAUUAAUUUUUUAUUCGUGGCAGAGUAAAAGAUUAUUUAUUUUCUAAUGGCAACUCAUUUUAGGUGAGUUUGACUUUGGGGGCUCACUAUGGUAAUACAGAUCUCAAGGAUCAAAGAGCGCGCUUAUAGAGGUACUUACAAAUCAUCCAUCAAGGGGAUCCCCAGAUCAUCCGUGAGAGUUGAACUCACGAUCUCUCGGUGUGUGAGUCAACUCAUUACCAAUGAUUAAAUAUUGGACAUCUGAAGUAAAUAUCACACGUCAAGACUAAAUGACACACCCUUAUAUUUCAUAUCAUUUUAAAAAUUAUUCUUAUACUUUUGGUUUCAACCAUGAUCUAUAAAAUAGUUUUUAGAAUUCAUUAUGUAUAAGUCUUAUCAAAGACACAUUUUUAAUGUAUACUCAUUUUAAUACCAACUUUAAAAUUCUUCUUAUCUUUUCAAUUUUAAUAAAAAUUCAAAAUCAUAUACACUUA